UCGCGGACGACAGUGUCGCCCGCGCCAGGCAAGUCCAUGGAGACAGAUCACGCCGUGACAGGCCAGAGGCGGCUCGAGGGAUCCAUAAUUUAUGAUGUUGUUCUUACCAGUCCGGUUUGGGAUUUCACAAGCGUUGCCCGUUCCCCUCCCAUUUGUUGCUCCCGCCCGUCCUUUUGGAGAAAACUCCUUUUCCCCUACUCAAGACAGUAACAGUUGCCGGAUUGAAUUAAUGUGAUAAGAGAGGGAGAAAAAAAAGAGCAGAGAGCAACUGUUGCAAUUGGUCGCAAGGCUGGAGCCGGUGAAGACACGAAUAAAGCAAAGGUUGGACCUG
Molecule: long non-coding RNA, 331 nt
Organism: Leopardus geoffroyi (Geoffroy's cat)
Lineage: Eukaryota; Metazoa; Chordata; Mammalia; Carnivora; Felidae
Exons: 2
Source: RefSeq, a predicted model, not a curated record